This 465-nucleotide ribosomal RNA is filed under the name uncultured bacterium. RNAcentral describes it as "partial 16S ribosomal RNA". It matches the Rfam family "Bacterial small subunit ribosomal RNA", at positions 338 to 795 of the family's 1533-position model. The record is from RNAcentral.
CCUACGGGAGGCAGCAGUAGGGAAUCUUGCGCAAUGGGCGAAAGCGUGACGGAGCGACGCCGCGUGAGUGACGAAGGUCUUCGGAUCGUAAAGUUCUGUUGUUAGAGAAGAAAGUGCGUGAAAGUAACUGUUCACGUAUCGACGGUAUCUAUCCAGAAAGCCACGGCUAACUACGUGCCAACAGCCGCGGUAAUACGGAGGGGGCAAGCGUUGUUCGGAGUUAUUGGGCGUAAAGGGCACGCAGGCGGUCUUUUAAGUCUGAUGUCAAAGACUUGGGCUUAACCGUAGUAAGGCAAUUGAUACUGGGAUACUUGAGUGUAGGAGAGGAGAGUGGAAGUCCAUGUGUAGCGGUGAAAUGCGUAGAUAUAUGGAAGAAUACCAGUGGCGAAGGCGGCACUCUGGCUUGUAACUGACGCUGAGGUUCGAAAGCGUGGGUAGCAAACAGGAUUAGAUACCCGAGUAGUC